Molecule: ribosomal RNA, 253 nt
Filed under: uncultured bacterium
Lineage: Bacteria
Description: partial 16S ribosomal RNA
Rfam family: Bacterial small subunit ribosomal RNA
Source: RNAcentral
UACGUAGGGGGCAAGCGUUGUCCGGAUUUACUGGGCGUAAAGGGCGCGUAGGCGGCCCGCUAAGUCGAACGUGAAAUCCCCAGGCUCAACCUGGGAACUGCGUCCGAUACUGGCAGGCUUGAAUCCGGGAGAGGGAUGUGGAAUUCCAGGUGUAGCGGUGAAAUUCGUAGAUAUCAGGAGGAACACCAGUGGCGAAGGCGGCUUCCUGGACACCAACUGACGCUGAGACGCGAAAGCGUGGGGAGCAAACAGG